GAUGCCUAGUAUAUGAGAAAUAGAGAAAAAAUUUGAGAGAAAAGUUCUGCUCAAAAUCCGAGCCUUCUUCUUCCUUUUUCUUCUUCCCCAUUCUUCUUAGUUCUCAUGAGAGUCUAUGAGAUCUGAGAGAGAACCAGAUUAGCCAUUAAAGAGAAGAUCUUUGUAAGAGAGCUAGCACCCUAGAAAAAUCAUCUCACCUCUGAUUGGAACGAGUCCUCGUAUGGAUACCUGUGG
Molecule: long non-coding RNA, 234 nt
Filed under: Elaeis guineensis (African oil palm)
Lineage: Eukaryota; Viridiplantae; Streptophyta; Magnoliopsida; Arecales; Arecaceae
Description: long non-coding RNA (EGUI_LNC045430)
Source: RNAcentral